AACGCUGGCGGCAUGCCUAACACAUGCAAGUCGAACGGGUUGUACUUCGGUACAGCUAGUGGCGGACGGGUGAGUAACACAUAGGAAUCUGCCCGAGAGUGGGGGAUAACCCAGGGAAACUUGGAUUAAUACCGCAUGAUCUCUACGGAGCAAAGCUGGGGACCUUCGGGCCUGGCGCUUUUGGAGGAGCCUAUGUCUGAUUAGCUUGUUGGUGAGGUAACGGCUCACCAAGGCGACGAUCAGUAACUGGUCUGAGAGGACGACCAGUCACACCGGAACUGAGACACGGUCCGGACUCCUACGGGAGGCAGCAGUGGGGAAUAUUGGACAAUGGGCGAAAGCCUGAUCCAGCAAUGCCGCGUGUGUGAAGAAGGCCUUCGGGUUGUAAAGCACUUUAGGAUGGAAAGAAAAAACUUCAGUUAAUAGCUGAAGUCUUGACGGUACCAUCAGAAUAAGCACCGG
RNAcentral lists this ribosomal RNA (462 nucleotides) under uncultured bacterium. Its description in RNAcentral is "bacterial SSU rRNA". It matches the Rfam family "Bacterial small subunit ribosomal RNA", at positions 32 to 496 of the family's 1533-position model. The record is from RNAcentral.